This 203-nucleotide ribosomal RNA is filed under the name Bacillus cereus. RNAcentral's name for it is "partial 16S ribosomal RNA". It matches the Rfam family "Bacterial small subunit ribosomal RNA", at positions 1 to 197 of the family's 1533-position model. The record is from RNAcentral. Lineage: Bacteria; Bacillati; Bacillota; Bacilli; Caryophanales; Bacillaceae.
UUUAUUGGAGAGUUUGAUCCUGGCUCAGGAUGAACGCUGGCGGCGUGCCUAAUACAUGCAAGUCGAGCGAAUGGAUUAAGAGCUUGCUCUUAUGAAGUUAGCGGCGGACGGGUGAGUAACACGUGGGUAACCUGCCCAUAAGACUGGGAUAACUCCGGGAAACCGGGGCUAAUACCGGAUAACAUUUUGAACUGCAUGGUUCG